CGGGAAAAGCUCAAAUUUUGAAUCUGGCGGUCUCUGGCCGUCCGAGUUGUAAUCUAGAGAAGUGCUUUCCGCGCUGGACCGUGUACAAGUCUCCUGGAACGGAGCGUCAUAGAGGGUGAGAAUCCCGUCUCUGACACGGACUCCCAGUGCUUUGUGAUGCGCUCUCGAC
RNAcentral lists this ribosomal RNA (169 nucleotides) under Coniophora olivacea. Its description in RNAcentral is "partial large subunit ribosomal RNA". It matches the Rfam family "Eukaryotic large subunit ribosomal RNA", at positions 99 to 261 of the family's 3401-position model. Lineage: Eukaryota; Fungi; Basidiomycota; Agaricomycetes; Boletales; Coniophoraceae. The record is from RNAcentral.